Molecule: long non-coding RNA, 342 nt
Filed under: Marmota monax (woodchuck)
Lineage: Eukaryota; Metazoa; Chordata; Mammalia; Rodentia; Sciuridae
Source: RNAcentral
CGUGCCUUCUAGCAGUUUCCACAUGUUCCUGGAAGAGCGCAGACGCGGGGCCGAAGGCAGGUGGCAGCGCGCGCAGCUAGACGGGGCGACAUUUCCAUGUGGACGAAAAACGCGGAAGAUUCUGCAGCCAACUCUCAAUCGUAGCCCAGGGACGGAGCCCAAGAGUCCCCCUAAUACCAUGGUCCACAGGGGGAGCGCGCUAGGCGGCCCCGGGGCCCCGGGAGUGCGCGCCCCCGGCCCCAGCCGAGCCCUGGAAGCCGCACCUGGACUCCGGGUCAGGACCUUGACUUUCGUCUGUGCGCUGUGGGUGAGUUCCGGCUUCGGUUCUCGGAGGACACGUGC